This 917-nucleotide ribosomal RNA is filed under the name uncultured Clostridia bacterium. RNAcentral describes it as "SSU rRNA". It matches the Rfam family "Bacterial small subunit ribosomal RNA", at positions 8 to 916 of the family's 1533-position model. Lineage: Bacteria; Bacillati; Bacillota; Clostridia. The record is from RNAcentral.
AGAGUUUGAUCCUGGCUCAGGACAAACGCUGGCGGCGUGCUUCACACAUGCAAGUCGAACGGACGGUAGCAAUACCGUUAGUGGCGGACGGGUGAGUAACACGUGAACAACGUGCCUCCUUCACGGGGAUAACACCGGGAAACUGGUGCUAAUACCGGAUAAGACCUCGGGAUCGCAUGGUCCUGAGAGGAAAGGCGGAGCAAUCUGCCGAGAGGAGAGCGGUUCGCGUCCCAUCAGCUAGUAGGCGGGGUAAUGGCCCACCUAGGCGACGACGGGUAGCCGGCCUGAGAGGGUGUACGGCCACACUGGAACUGAGACACGGUCCAGACUCCUACGGGAGGCAGCAGUGGGGAAUCUUGGUCAAUGGGGGAAACCCUGACCCAGCGACGCCGCGUGCGCGAUGAAGGCCUUCGGGUUGUAAAGCGCUGUCUUCAGGGAAGAACGACGGGGUGAGUAACUGCGCUCCGUGUGACGGUACCUGAGGAGGAAGCCACGGCUAACUACGUGCCAGCAGCCGCGGUAAUACGUAGGUGGCGAGCGUUGUCCGGAAUUACUGGGCGUAAAGGAUGAGUAGGCGGCCUGUUAAGUCGGAUGUGAAACAUCGGGGCUCAACCCCGAUCUUGCAUUUGAUACUGGCAGGCUUGAGGGCAGGAGAGGAAUGCGGAAUUCCCGGUGUAGCGGUAAAAUGCGUAGAUAUCGGGAGGAACACCAGUGGCGAAGGCGGCAUUCUGGACUGUACCUGACGCUGAGUCAUGAAAGCUAGGGGAGCGAACGGGAUUAGAUACCCCGGUAGUCCUAGCCGUAAACGAUGGGUACUAGGUGUGGGAGGUAUCGACCCCUCCCGUGCCGCAGUUAACGCAAUAAGUACCCCGCCUGGGGAGUACGGCCGCAAGGUUGAAACUCAAAGGAAUUGACGG